CUCGCCACCUACUGCUGUGAACACAUAUAUCCGUUUUGGACAUUAUUUCCUUUCUGACCAACUUAUUCAUCACUGUGCGUAAAUAAAAAAAACUACCACAUCUUGUAUGGAUAAAUGGACAGUUAAUUGGAUAAUCACAGCUGAGUGACAUGGCACAGAAUUGCAAACAUUGUUAAUCUCCAAUCAACAUUAAAGAACCCAAAUUGAG
Coregonus clupeaformis (lake whitefish) is the source of this 208-nucleotide long non-coding RNA. RefSeq lists it as uncharacterized. Lineage: Eukaryota; Metazoa; Chordata; Actinopteri; Salmoniformes; Salmonidae. The record is from RefSeq and is a predicted model, not a curated record. The transcript is spliced from 2 exons.